This 484-nucleotide ribosomal RNA is filed under the name uncultured bacterium. RNAcentral describes it as "partial 16S ribosomal RNA". It matches the Rfam family "Bacterial small subunit ribosomal RNA", at positions 30 to 507 of the family's 1533-position model. The record is from RNAcentral.
AUUGAACGCUGGCGGCAGGCCUAACACAUGCAAGUCGAGCGGAAGAAGGGAGCUUGCUCGUGGAUUCAGCGGGGGAGGGGCGAGUGAGGCCUAGGAAUAUGGCUGUCUGUGGGGGCUAAGGUGCGGAAACGGGCGAUAAUACGGCAUAAGCCCAGAGGGCGUACGGGGGGGAUCAUCGGACCUUACGCUAUUAGGUGAGUCUAUGUCGGAUUAGCUAGUUGGCGGGGUAAAGGCCUACCAAGGCGACGAUCCGUAACUGGUCUGAGAGGAUGAUCAGUCACACUGGAACUGAGACACGGUCCAGACUCCUACGGGAGGCAGCAGUGGGGAAUAUUGGACAAUGGGCGAAAGCCUGAUCCAGCCAUGCCGCGUGUGUGAAGAAGGUCUUCGGAUUGUAAAGCACUUUUAGUUGGGAAGAAGAGCAGUAAGUUAAUACCUUGCUGUUUUGACGUUACCAACAGAAUAAGCACCGGCUAACUUCGUG